RNAcentral lists this long non-coding RNA (359 nucleotides) under Salvia miltiorrhiza (redroot sage). RNAcentral's name for it is "long non-coding RNA (SMIL_LNC013243)". The record is from RNAcentral. Lineage: Eukaryota; Viridiplantae; Streptophyta; Magnoliopsida; Lamiales; Lamiaceae.
AUGAUGAUUGAUGGAGUAGAUUGAGUAUAUGAUGUUAAUUGAUGAAUUUGAGGUGAGUUAGUUUAAUAAAAUUAGGGAUAUGUGUAUCUAUGCCCUAAAUUGUAAAUUGAUGGAUUAUAUGUGAGUUUAAAUGGUUAAAAUUGAUAGAUCUAUGAUUAGAUUAAGGUAUCAUGUGUGUUGAUAAAAUUUCAAAGAGUUUAGUUUAUUGAAAAUUAGGACUUUCUUGCCUAUGUGUUUAUUAAGUGUUUUGGUUUAGGAUAUAUGUAAUUGAGCAUGAUAUUAGUGUCUAAUUAUGUUUGACUAGGUCUUUUGUUGGCUAAAUAAAAUUUGGACUUAGUUUAGUUUGUAUGAUUAAAGAG